This 468-nucleotide ribosomal RNA is filed under the name uncultured bacterium. RNAcentral describes it as "partial 16S ribosomal RNA". It matches the Rfam family "Bacterial small subunit ribosomal RNA", at positions 28 to 507 of the family's 1533-position model. The record is from RNAcentral.
GACGAACGCUGGCGGCGUGCUUAACACAUGCAAGUCGAACGGACAGGCCCUGCUUUUGUGGCGUGCUCGAGUGGCGAACGGGUGAGUAACACGUGAGUAACCUGCCCUUGACUUUGGGAUAACUUCAGGAAACUGGGGCUAAUACCGGAUAGGAGCUCCUGCUGCAUGGUGGGGAUUGGAAAGUUUCGGCGGUUGGGGAUGGACUGGCGGCUUAUCAGCUUGUUGGUGGGGUAGUGGCUUACCAAGGCUUUGACGGGUAGCCGGCCUGAGAGGGGGACCGGCCACAUGGGGACUGAGAUACGGAGCAGACGGCUACGGGAGGCAGCAGUGGGGAAUAUGGCACAAUGGGCGGAAGCCUGAUGCAGCAACGCCGCGUGCGGGAUGACGGCCUUCGGGUUGUAAACCGCUUUCGCCGGUGACGAAGCGUGAGUGACGGUAAUGGGUAAAGAAGCACCGGCUAACUACGUG